RNAcentral lists this ribosomal RNA (405 nucleotides) under uncultured bacterium. RNAcentral's name for it is "bacterial SSU rRNA". It matches the Rfam family "Bacterial small subunit ribosomal RNA", at positions 57 to 462 of the family's 1533-position model. The record is from RNAcentral.
GCAAGUCGAACGCGUCUUGGGGGCAACUCCAAGAUGAGUGGCGAACGGGUGAGUAACACGUGGGUAAUCUCCCCCCGAGUGAGGAAUAAGCCCGCGAAAGCGGGUCUAAUACUGCAUAACACCCCGGGGCAUAAGCUUCCGGGGUCAAAGCCGUAAGGCGCUUGGGGAUGAGCCUGCGUCCUAUUAGCUAGUUGGUAGGGUAACGGCCUACCAAGGUUAUGAUGGGUAGCCGGCCUGAGAGGGUGUUCGGCCACACUGGGACUGAGACACGGCCCAGACUCCUACGGGAGGCAGCAGUGAGGAAUCUUGCGCAAUGGGCGAAAGCCUGACGCAGCGACGCCGCGUGGAGGAAGACGGCCUUCGGGUUGUAAACUCCUGUCAGAGGUGAAGAAUCCCCGCAAGGGG